GAUGGUCGAGUUUAUGGAGAAGGUCUCCGCCGCUACAGACAACGAGGAGCUCACCGUCGAGGAGCGGAACCUUCUCUCUGUUGCUUACAAGAAUGUUAUUGGAGCGCGUAGAGCCUCCUGGAGGAUUAUUUCCUCCAUUGAACAGAAGGAGGAGAGCCGAGGGAAUGAUGAUCAUGUCUCCGUUAUCCGAGAAUACAGAUCCAAGAUCGAGACUGAGCUCUCCAACAUCUGUGAUGGGAUCCUUAAGCUUCUUGACUCCCGUCUCAUUUCCUCUGCUGCUUCUGGUGACUCCAAGGUGUUUUAUCUCAAGAUGAAGGGAGAUUAUCAUAGAUACCUUGCUGAAUUCAAGACCGGAGCCGAGCGGAAGGAAGCUGCCGAAAGUACUCUCACUGCUUAUAAAUCUGCACAGGAUAUUGCAAAU
Molecule: unclassified non-coding RNA, 421 nt
Filed under: Hevea brasiliensis (rubber tree)
Lineage: Eukaryota; Viridiplantae; Streptophyta; Magnoliopsida; Malpighiales; Euphorbiaceae
Source: RNAcentral